UGCUCGGAGGAUCAAUGUUUUUAAUGAUAAGAAUAGAGUCCAAUCUAUCUCUUCGAUUGUCAACUCUAUUCUGUUUUCGGCUCGACUGGAGCAAUAUUUAGUGAGAAAAGAAACACGACCGCUUCGUUAGGGUGUUAUUUCAAUUCUCGAUCCGGCUUGAAGGAUCAAUGUUUAGAUGAGAAAAGAAAACCAACCGAAUGGGCUGGCUGUUGAUUCAAUUCUGUUUUUAUUUAAAAUAUUUGUUCCUUACGUACUACUGAAACUAAUCUAACUUAACCUAGUCGCAGCCACACAAUUGUUCUUAUCUAUUCUAAUAUUGAAUGGAGAACAUUGCAGGGCUGCUUUACAUUUCAUUCAAGUGAUCUUGUGCAUCUACUGAGCGCAUCGAUAUCUGUGCGUUGUUGCAGGCCGUUCACAUGCGGCGCAAAAAGGGAACAAAUAUAUGGGGCCGUGUUUUUUGGCAAAACCUGUCCACAACCACCGCAGAAAUUAUCCCAAUUCUGUUGGUAGUGCAUCCCAUAAUUGGUCCUCAAAUGGAUUUGCUCAGUUUUCCUGGGUUUUUAGUGAGGAUGCUUCGAGAUUUCAAUUUGCUUCUAAUUUCUGCGGGGUGUGUAGUCUGGGUGGCGAUGGGAUCAAAAUGCCGGAAAUGGUUUGUUAGGGUUCGCUACGUACGAAAUUAGGCUCGAACAGGGUUGAGUAAAGAGUAUUAUAAAGGUAGUAAAUGACAGGGUGACUCAGGCUAAGAAGUGACUAGGCAGCCCUAUGAUUGCUGAGUAGGUGGGAACCUACUAUAAAUAUGAUAAAAAUUUUGUUUAGACACAAUUGGAAUGAAUGAUUAUGAAAAAAAAGCGGCACGUUGAAAUAAAAAUUUAAGAAAUAUCAGAAGAAUAGAAAAACAAAAGAUUUCGAGAGAAAUAAUUAAAAUGUUUUUGCUAAUGUCUCGCUGCCGUAUAAGGUUAAAGGAAAUUGGCGUUGUUUGGGCGAGUUGGUAACGUAUGUGAAAAGGGUUGGGCGAAUAGUUAGACAGCCGUUGAUUUUUAAAUGAGAGACUCAGGGGUGAGGUGAAAUGAGAAUUCACAAUAAAAAAAAAAAUGGCUAUUGACAGUUGAAAAGAAAAAGGAAUGAAAAUUGAAAAUGGUUCAGGAAAAUGGUGUUUCGUGGAAAAUGAGCGUCUGGCGGGAUUCACUGAGAAGAGGGGUAUAAAAGGCUGCGAGCAUAAGAAAAGCCAAAGUUGAGAAUAAGACGUUACCGGUGAAACUUAGCUAGAGAGCAGUGAAGAAGUGGAAAAAUUUAAUUUGUGUGUUGCGAUUUUUUUUUAUUGUGAAUAUUCCGGUGGUGUAUCAAGCCUUUUUUGGAAGCACCGAAAAUUGUCCGGUUUUGGUCAGCACAACGGCGGGAAAUUGCCUUUUCUUUUUGGUAACGCAAGGUAGUGGCAAGUUGUCCACAGGAAAAAAAAGCCAAAAAGUUACAUUGAGGGUGUGGAGAUUUGAAUUGUAAACUGGCCAGCUGCAACUUUGAGCUUUUUGCUGUGCCGGUUAUUGAUCCCGCCCAGAACGCCGGCAUUGUAAAAGGACCAGUCAACAAGUCCAGCUUCAUUUGAGGGUUUGCCUGGCGUUCAAAAUCUGUUUCCUCCGGAAAGAAGCGUAAACUGGAAGGAGAGAUAAGAAGAAUUAAUCAAUAACGUUAUAAAUCACUGCUCAGGUAAAAGGUGUCUUACCGUUGUGUUGUCCUUGAUAGAUAUAUUUAUAUAUAUAUGUGACGUCCAUAAAAUUUGCUGUCUCCUUUUUUGGAACUAAAAGAAAAGAAAAAAAGAGUUAAUAAUCAUAAAUUUCGAGAAAAAAAAUAUAAUAUUCAGUAUAAAGAUUUAGUAAUAAGAUAGGUUAUAGUUCUUAGGAUUUAAGUAAUAAUCAGUUUGUAAGGGAAAAAUACCGCGUUUAUUUUCAAAGGCUAGGAGGUGUUACAGUAAAAUUAUCUUGAGUCCUUGUGAUUCGAUCUGAUAGUUUAGGCCGUGGAAUUUUAGCGGCAAUUAGGCCGGUUAAGAGAGCUCUUUUAGGUGGCUAGUAAUUUCGUAUAGACGCGUGAAUAUUGCGCGGGAAAAGCAAGGCAAAGGAUAAUAUAUUGGUUUCUACCGAGUAAUUAAAGCCAUAGAUUUAAGAAAGCCCGGUAUUAUUCUUAAUUUGUUUUUUUUUAUACCAUACAGUUUGUCAAUUUUAGUGUAAGAAAAAAAAUAGUAGAGAAAAAAAUUAAGAAAAUAUUUAAAGCUAACUUAUUUUUUUUAAUAAAAUUAAAAAUGAUUCUUUUGUAAACAGUA
Molecule: long non-coding RNA, 2311 nt
Organism: Musca domestica (house fly)
Lineage: Eukaryota; Metazoa; Arthropoda; Insecta; Diptera; Muscidae
Exons: 2
Source: RefSeq, a predicted model, not a curated record